Molecule: RNA transcript, 2469 nt
Organism: Ipomoea nil (Japanese morning glory)
Lineage: Eukaryota; Viridiplantae; Streptophyta; Magnoliopsida; Solanales; Convolvulaceae
Gene name: serine/threonine-protein phosphatase 7 long form homolog
Exons: 6
Source: RefSeq, a predicted model, not a curated record
CCUCAUCUUUCCAGCAUAUAUUGAAAGAGUGAACCAAGUCAGAAUACCCCAACUCAAGUAUUCACCAAAAUUUUUCAUUUGGAGGCAGAAGUUCAUUUGAAAAGCUCUCAUUAGUCAUUUCUCUUCUCUACACAUCUUCAUCUUCAGUUAUGGCAAACCAACGAGUACACCCCGGGCCACUGAACCAAAAUUUGCUAACGUUUCAAACCCGUCACCGAAGUAGAGCUAUUUGGACGGAUCCUAAUUAUGACGUCCAACUAAAAGCGGUUAAGUAUGAUACCGUAACGAGGUGUGCAGCCGUUGAUGAUGAAAGAGUCAAAGAGUGGCUGCGUAUUUCGGGAUUCUACGGUAUUUCUCAGCUCACAAAAAUACAGUUGGACCAUGCGCUUAUUACCGCCCUUUUAGAGCGAUGGAGGCCGGAGGUCCACGCUUUUCACAUGCCCUUCGGUGAGGUAGGAAUAACACUUCAAGAUGUAGAAGUGCUAUUUGGCCUCAAAGUUGACGGUUUUUUAGUGUCGGGGCAGGAUACAAUUGGCACUAAGCAACAAGUAAAGGUAAUGUGCAAAGAGUUACUGGGAUUUGAGCCUACGGUACAGUUCAUGACAAGUACAAUGAUUAACGGGUGUGUUGUACCGGAGGUUCAAGCUCUUACAGCAGAGAGCGGAGAAGAAGACGUCUUGUUGGCAACACGGCGUUUAAUAUUUCAUUUGUUAAACGGUUUUUUAUUUCCUGACACAACAAAGGGGAAAUAUAAAUUAUACUUCCUACCUUAUAUUAGGAAUCUCUAUGUUUGUGCCGAAUUUUGCUGGGGUUCGGCUGUUUUGGGAUAUCUAUAUAGGGCGUUGUGUAGAGCUUCCGAACACGGCAAACGUACAGUUUUUGGGUGUCUUCUUCUAGUGCAGAUUUGGGCAUGGGAGAGGCUGCCUAUGGUAAGGCCGAGUGGUGUUUUGCCGCGCGAUAAAAUCGCUGAUUACCCUAUUGCAUAUAGGUGGGUUUGUCGGCACACUUGGCUAACAGUGCCUAGCCACACUACCGUAGCCUAUCGCGAUCAAUUAGAUCACGCAUCGGAACGGAGAUUUAUUUUCACUCCGUAUGUUGACUACCUUGAUGACUUGCCCCCAUAUUGCAAAGCGGGGAGGAGGUUAUGGACUGCCAAAAUUCCGCUAAUUUUCUACCACGUGGUGGAAUAUCACCACCCUGUGCGGUUCUGCAGGCAGUUCAAUGGGUUGCAGGUUGUGCCGCCAGAUGUGGUAUACGACCAACGGUUGCACAAUAUGGACCAACGGGGGAAGUCAGGAACUGAUUGGUUACAAAAGCAUGGAGAACACGUGGGCCGUUGGAAUGAGCGUUAUAAUUGGGUCGUCAACAUGACUAUAACCGAUCGACCGCAGUCGGUGCCUGAGUACCGGGCAUGGUACUACUUGCAUGGUCGGCGUCUUAUUGGUAACCCAAUGCAUUACAAAAACGAGGGAUUCGUGCAGUGUGCAGCGUCACUCAACGAGGCGAUGCACGCAUUCAACCGGUUGAGGUUAGAUGUCAGUGAAGUCCUUAACAAUCCUGAUGCCGAUCGUGACCAACACCUUAGGGAUAUUCAACAGAAUUGUAUUGACAUGUUGGUUGAUACGGACUACGAGUUCCUUUUGCACAUGACGCCUGAGCAGUAUUUUGGGGCUCCGAUGCCGGAUGAACCAUUUGGCCCUCCGGCUGCAGAUCGUCGUCGAGACAGGCCAAACAGGCGUGGUGGUCCAGCAAUCGGCGGUCGAAGUAGGCGCGCCGUGAAUAUUCAAAGACAGGCGGAAUUCGUUGCAGCUGCUCAACAAGAGGCGGAGGCGGAUGAGGAUGAGGAUGAGGACGAGGACGAGGUUUUGCUUGAGGAUGAGAAUGAAGAUGACGAUGGGAGUAAUGAUGAGGGGGCAUUGCAAAUUGUUGUUAGGGACCGUUCACCUAAACGUGAUAGAUUUGAUUACGGGCAGAGUAGUGGAACGAAUUAAGGGGGCGAAUGCACUGGGUUCGCCCAUUUCGCGUCAGGAUCCCAAAUGAGUGGAUUUGGAUUCGCAGGUGCUAGUGGUUAUGGGUCGGGUGCAGCCACAUAUAACACCCCAUCUAGUGCGAUGUAUGAUCCGACAUAGGCUGGUUCCUCCUUUUAGUUGUUCCAUGCUCUACCCUAUAAUCAAUAUCAACAUCCUCGACCGUUAUUCAAUGCUUAUCCCAUGGAGCACCCAAUUACGGAUUUACAAUUGGGAAUCCCAUCAUCGUCGCAUUUAGGUGGUGACAACGUUUUUCCAUCCAUUGAACAGUCGAUUGGGCCUGUUGAAGAGGAGCAGCCACCUCCACGAAGGUCUACAAGACAAACACGAUCGACGGUGUGUGGAACCGGAACUCGACACCACAGGCACGGAUGAAUUGAUUAGAAGCUCAAAAAUGAAUAUCCAUUGCAUUCCAUUCUAUGUAUACAAAGCACUAGUUGAG